Molecule: ribosomal RNA, 384 nt
Filed under: uncultured bacterium
Lineage: Bacteria
Description: bacterial SSU rRNA
Rfam family: Bacterial small subunit ribosomal RNA
Source: RNAcentral
AGUGAACGCUGGCGGCAGGCCUAACACAUGCAAGUCGAACGGUAACAGGCCCUUCGGGGUGCUGACGAGUGGCGGACGGGUGAGUAACGCUUAGGAAUCUACCUAGUAGUGGGGGAUAACCCGGGGAAACUCGGGCUAAUACCGCGUACGCCCUACGGGGGAAAGCGGGGGACUUUCGGCCUCGCGCUAUUAGAUGAGCCUAAGCCCGAUUAGCUAGUUGGUAGGGUAAUGGCCUACCAAGGCGACGAUCGGUAGCUGGCUGAGAGGACGACCAGCCACACUGGGACUGAGACACGGCCCAGACUCCUACGGGAGGCAGCAGUGGGGAAUAUUGGACAAUGGGCGCAAGCCUGAUCCAGCGAUGCCGCGUGUGUGAAGAAGGCC